RNAcentral lists this long non-coding RNA (12054 nucleotides) under Triticum aestivum (bread wheat). RNAcentral describes it as "long non-coding RNA (TAES_LNC012323)". Lineage: Eukaryota; Viridiplantae; Streptophyta; Magnoliopsida; Poales; Poaceae. The record is from RNAcentral.
GUAAACAGGCAAGCAGAAAUGCAGAAACACACAGGCCACAACAACAAUAUUCAUCAUUCAGGCGAGCCAGACCAUCGGGCACAACUUGGCAAUUCAGAGUACAUCACUUAAACAACUAGCUAAACCGGCAGCUAGACACAAGCUAGUUUCCAAAAGUCAAAGUUCAACCAGCCAGACCUAGAGCUGGCACACAGGUGCACAGCAAGGUUUACAUACACACAACUUGAUUUCGGCCCCCGAAAGAAAGAGCUCGAUUUCAGUGAACAACCAUACACCACAGAGACCCCUGUUACGGAUCCUUCAUUGCCCGAUCAGCUGCAUAUAUGGUUAAGAUUAAGACCCAUUCAGAAAUUUAGAUCAUAAAGAAAGGCGAGCGAUCAGGAAGAGGUGUGGUUCAAAGAUUCGCCCCAGGAUUACCUGUGUAGCUGAGGUUCACUUGGAGGCUUUUAUAUUAGUGAGGGCAGCAAGAGCCUCCACGAUCUUGCCUUCAUUGAUCGACCUAGUAGCCUGUGCAAAGAAAUUUGGAUUUUGCAGGACUGAGUUCCUGGUAAAAUAUGAAAUGGCAUAUAUCCCAAAUGUCAGCAAAAGACACCGACCUUGAGAGACGGUAUCAGUGCAUAAACCUCUUCGAUGGUCUCAGGCCCAAUGUUCGCUAUCAUGCAUAUCUGUUACAGGUACAACAAACCGUUUUAUGUUUGAGAUGAGGGAAAUGAGAUACAAGAAGGUGAGAGGAAAAGAAGGCUUACGAACCUCGCCAUCAUUAACACCAUAGUCUUUAAGAGGUCUGCAGCUACGAGUCAAGGAAAUAAACUACAAAGUGGUUGCUUGGCGAAACAAUUUAACUGCAUGACCACAAUGCGAUCUCUAAUAUUACUAGUUCUUAACCAAAACGAAGGAUACUCCAGGAUUUCUUUCACCAACUUCGCAGAGGUGAAGUGAUUUCCUUCUUUUGCAUACUGAAAGGCCUUGUCAAACGACCUGCCGGUGCAAGAAGAAAAGAUUAAACAUGGAGUCACACAAGCUAACAGACUGGAACGCCACAUAAACAAUUAUUAGCAGAACAUAACAGAAUUAAAACAAGAGAUAUUCCUUACUCGGGAAUUUUUAUAGUCGGAUCCUCUGAUAAGAUAGCCAUAUGUCCUUGAAUUUUCUGCAACAUUUCUGCUGCUUCACAGUUCGAUAACAAUAUAGAAUUUGGAGGCAUAUCUGCAACCAAUUGUUAUGCGGGAAUCAGCUUGCCUAUUUUACGUUUAGACAGAAGGGACAUUUGAAAAUCAUAAUAUAAGAUGUGUGCCCGUUUCAAAUGAUGUAAAACUAACAAUCUCAUUAUACGGAACUUCUCAAGUAAAGAGCCUACUGAAAUUCCAUAAACUACCAAACUUUAACUACUAUUAAGGUUACUAUGAAAUAAACUUCAAGAAAAAUAGAGGAUAUUUCAAUGGAAGGAACUGACCAAGCUGAAGCUUUAGUUCUGCAUCAGACAUUGCAGGCUUUGCAUUUGAUGCGGAGCCCUUCCCGCCUUUCCCAGCACUAAAUGCCUUCCCUCCUUUGCUACCUUCUCCUAUGAGAACAUAAUACAUGAAAGACACAGAAAGACAAUCUAUUGUGUAACUAGAACUUUCAGUUUUAUUGGCAACUCUUGAAUGGAUGAAUGUAUAGCAAAAGUACAAAACGAUGCAUCCAUACCAUUAGAAAAGGAUGAAGCCUUUCCACCAGUUUUUAGGCUAUCAGAUGAAGCUUUCCCAUUUGACUUGGAGUGUGUGGGAGGAGCCUCUUCUUCAAAAAAAUCUAAAUACAGGCAGUGAUAUAUGAGGUUCUUGUAUAUUUUCAACUAUAUAUCAAUACAGUAUUCACAUUGACUUAUUCGGUUUCAUUCAACUAUCCGGUAAAUUUUAGUGCUAAUUUAUGUACUGUGAUCAGAUAUCCUGCCCUAUCAAAUACUGCAAUAGUUACAAUGUAAGCAGCUCAAUGAUUACCAUUUGUUAUGCACAGCCAUAAAUUGGUGAAACAAAACAACAGUGUCUUGCCUUCAACUACAAACGAUAUGAAGUGUCCUUUCACACUCAAUGUGAUGGUAAAUAACAUCAACUAUGAGCAAAUAGUCAACGAAUCAUCUGCAAAUAAAACCAAAGGGGAACCACAAACAUGGUAUAUAAUUCUCUUCCGACAUUUUUUUCUGUAGUAUUUGAUCAAUCCUAUGAAGGCUGCCAAGAUAAGUAUUUGGGGAGCGUAGAAGGUUGUGGGACUUCUAGUUAAAUGAUUCUUUAAUCUAUACUGGAACAAAAAGUAUCAUUUCAAGUUUUCAAACAGAAAAGUUUACUACCUUCUUGCUAAAGAUGCCCUAAGCCCUAGGGUAGCAGGGUACAACCGUACAAAUGGAAUUUUCUUGACAGUCAUAAAUAAAACACAAUGAUCAUAUCAGACAGAUAGCUCGUAACGUGCUAGCAGACACAAGUGAUACUCUUUAAUUCUUAUAACAAAAGCAAAUACCAAAGGAUUUUCUCAUGGAGCAGAGCUGUGAUAAGUGUAGUAAAACUAGAUUUAAGUAGAACAGCAGUGAACACAUGUGACUUGGCAUGCCCAGACCAAGUAGCCAGACAUAAAACAUAUCAUAAGAAGGAUAAUGUGAGUUGAAAAUAAAAAAGGAUUUAGUCCAAUAAAUAAACUGUUGCCUGGAAAAUGUUUAAUGACGAGAUUGGGCAAUAUUAUUACCAUCAGAAUCAGAAUCAGAAUCAGAAUCAGAAAGGUGAAUAACAUCAUUAGAAUUGUUCUGCCUUCCGUUCGGUGCUCCUGCAAGAAUAAAACAGGUAAGGAAUCUGUCAAACUCUAAACUUCCCUUCGAAAGCUCAACUUCUCAAAAAACACAGCAUUCAUUUUGAUGCAGCUGUAAAAUCAUCAAUCAUCACACAACAGAACAACAAAAAAACAUACCAUAAAAGUCUUAGAUUAAAAAACUUCCCUGUCAGACAUAAAUACCUUUAUUCUGUUUAGGUUCGGCACCUGCGACGGUGCGGGGGUUGUCGCUCCGGUUUGGCAUGGCAGAGGAUAUUACUGGGCGGGGCAUGGAAUGUCGAAUAUCCUGCGCGUUCUGAAGGUAGCGGCUGUGCGAGGGGGCGCUGGGGUUGGCCCUCAGGUUCAGGUUUGUGUUUGGGUUCAGUGUGUGGAUGGAGUUGCCUGAGCUGGCCAUGGGAGAUUGGCGAUCCUGCAGGCGGCCCAAGGCGGCUCUGAGGUUAACACUCAGGUUCCGGUCUCGCCUGUAGGAGUUGACUGAGCAGGGUAUGAAGUAUCGGGGAUCCUGCGGGUAGUGAAGGUAGCUGCCAGGCAAGGCGGCGCUAGGGUUUGCAUUUAGAUCUGGAAUGGGGAAGGAGAUGGCUGGCCAGUGCAUGGGGAAGGAGAUGGCUGGGUGGGGCAUAGGGGGAUGAAAAUCCUGCGUGUAGUGGAGGUAGGGGCCGCCGUGAAAGGGAGAGAUGACCGAGGGGUGGUGGAGGUAGGGGCCGCCGUGAAAGGGAGAGAUGACCGAGGGGUGGGAGUAAGGGCUGAACGGAGGCGGCGGGCCGGCGGCGGCAGGGAACAUGGGCGCAGCGGUAGGCGCAGCGGUAGGAGGCGAACCGAAGAGAAUACCCAGGUCGAAGGGAGGAUCGGGGUUGUUAGUGUUCGGAUUAGGGUUAAGGUUUCUGGCUGGAGGCGCCAUGGGAAGCGGCGGCGGAGUAGAUCUGGAGAAGAGGGGAAGAGGAGGAAAGUUGGAGGUGGGAUGAACCGGAAAUGGAGGUCAAUAACUCAAUAUAUAGGCGGUGGUUGUCUUGUUGCUGUUGUGCCCCGCAAUUUUACUUUAUUUGCGCCGCGCAAUUUCACUUCAAUUGUGCCCCGCAAUUUCACUUUAUUUUGACUUAAGCCUCUCAGUUCCAAACAAGUCGCGGUAGGCUAGAGUUGAAACCCAUAAGAUCUCGAAACCAAGUCAUGGUUCUGCCACGUGGAUAGCAAACUUCCACGCACCCAUGCCCAUGGCUAGUUCUUUGGUGAUAAUGCUGCUAAAUAUUGCUAUUUUAAAUUAAUUCCAAAAACACCCAGUACAAUAUGCAGACUUGAUAGAUGUACAUCACUCCAUUCCACGCAUUUCAACAAGAGAACAAGGUUGUAGUGUGUGUUACUAAGAUGCUGCGAAAUAGAUAACCUAUUACUUCAAAUAAGCAAGGGAUAAAUCAUCAUGUUCUCCAAAGUAGUAUAUUCUUGAGAGAGAAUUUACGGCAUGUCGUAAGCCGUUCUAACACAGGUACGAAAAAACGCUAACUAUCACAGAACCACGAGCAUACCACACACGUGAUAUUUCAGAAUAGGCAUAUACCUCAGUUUCUAGUUUAGUUCUACAUUUGAUCCAAGGAUUUUCCUUCACCAAAAUAGUGAAGGUUGGAUUAACUAAGGGGCUGCUUGGUUCCCAGCCACACUUUGCCACAUAUCAAGUUAGGCGAGUUUGACCAAGUUAGGUGGGUGUUUGGUUCUAGCCACACCUAAGGCAAGAUUCUUUUUGUUCAAAAUAAGUCCACAUGUCAUACACACAAAAAGUGUGGCAAUCCAAAGUGAGGCUAAGAAUUUGAGCACCUAGGCUAAGAAUUUGAGCACCUAAGCUAAGGCAAUUAGUUACCAACCAAACAUGCCCUACAUUAACAGCAGACCUUCCUCUGCAGAGCAGGAAAAAAAAAGAGAACGCAUCAAGAUGCUCAAGCAUGGAAUUUAAAUAUACAGACCAAGCUUAUGUGCUUAACUGCACCAAAAUCAACAAAAAAUCUUCCAAGGAACGCAUGCAAGACAUAUCCACGGAUAUUCGCUCUCUUGUUGAAGGGAAGGACCAUUCGUUAGACUAAAACCCUUAGGAAUCGCUAAAUUUAGCCAUGCACUUGUGCAUAAACACAAAUGAUCCAUUUAGUGUUACCUUAUUCACAGGCAAACAGACCCAAAACCUAUUAGGCUGCUAGUGAUUCCACAAUGCCCAGCAACGUUUAAUGCAUCACCAUUUUGAGCAAGCUGUGUCACAAUCAACUCAAUUAUCUACUUUUCCAGCUUUCCUUGAGACACCAAAUUAUAAUAACCCACCCACACCACAUAUGAGUGUGACACAACCAGUAGGAAAGUUGUUAAGAUUAAUUUGGUAACAAAUAUUAGCCAGAUGUAUUUCUACAAGCGCACAUAAACAGAUAAUCCAAUCCAAUUCUAGGAUCCAAAGGGCAUUGUCAGGAAAAAGUUUCUUAAGGACUGGAACCCUUCUCAAAAGUCCUACAGUCGAAAGAGGCCCUGAACAAACAGCUCUGUUUUGUCGUGGAUAUAUCACACCCAUAACAAAAUCCGACCAAAACCACCUAAUAAACAACCAAAUCAUAAGCCCUCGCACCCAUCAAAUUGGAUCUAAACCAUCUCCAAUAGCCAAAAUUCAUGUCCUUUCGAUGCCCACCCGCCAGGGCACCAGUACCGUGACAACAAAACCCUCGGCGCUCUGUAAACCCUAAUCCCUGGCCAUUCGCAUCGUUUCCUACUCGAUAGACGCGAAGAUCCCGACACCCACCGGGUUUUAUCCGGUGAAUGUCGCGUUCGUCAAGGGUUGAGACGACGUCGACGCAAAAAAAAAUACGGGGAAAGGGGGGGAUAAAACGGAAGGGGGCUGAACGGGGAUCACCUGACUUGGACGGAGGGUAGGACCCUUUCCCUCCCCUGUUCGCCAUUGCGGAGGAGAAGGCGGUGGUGAUCAGGAGGCGCCUGCCGGAGUCGGCCGCGUCGCUCUCCGCACCGACGCCGCACGCGCCCCGCUGCUCACUGCUCGCUGUCGCUGGUGAGGAGACGGAGAGUGAGAGUGCGGCCUGCCUCUGCCCGGAUGUAUUGACGGAUUUAUAAAGUUGGGCUGGGGAGUUUUUCUUUUUUUUUAGGCAAAGUUGGGCUGGGGAGUGAGAGAGAGAGGCUCCGCAGUCGGGCUCUGGGCUCGGGUGGACUAUGGGCCCAUGAGUCAAUGUUCUGCAGUCGACGAGGGCCAAUUUCAACAAAAUACAAUUGUCUGCCCUAAAAAAAAUACAAUUGUCUAAGAAAAAAAUGCAACCAUGCUCGGAUACAUGAUGAUGCAAGCGCCACCGACUGGUGCCCAACCGGAGGAUCCGCAGUGCCUCGUUGAAGACCCAUUCCCUCCUCCACUCCCUCUUAUAAGCUCACAGGUGCGGUAAUUUUCAACAAAUUGCUCCGUCAAAACCACACAAAAAAACACCACGACAAGAAGGAAAAAAAGAUGUGUGCAUACGGGCCAUGGACUUGCCGGAAGCUGGGGGCGCGCCGAAGUCAGAGCAGGAGUGCGACUUGGGGAUGCGUGAUCGGUCGCCGGCUUAGGGGAUCUCUCUUAUUGAAGCAAUCUAGGGAGAAGAAGAGAGAGCAUGAGAGUAUCUACAAUCACAGGUAUCAAAAAUAUAUAUGCGGCUAUGCGUGUCCGCGGACAGUGACUGAUCAGCAUGCAAAAAUUCGAUUUCACAACUUGAUACCUUAUUUUUAAAUUAUCAAAUCCAUACAAUUAUAUGCCACGUAAAAUUAAUCUACAUUUUCACCGGUAACCAUCAUUGUUGUUCCGACCGUGUCCAUGUACAGCGGCCGACUUAACCCCUCGAAGUGAAGGCAUAGUUGCCGGCGAGGUAAUGUAGGACAUGUGACACGGACCGGCUCACGGGACUCGAGGCGCCUUCAUCUCCCAUGCCCUACUCUUCCUCGUCGGAGUCCACAACCUGUUCGUUGCAACUGGGCAUGAGGUCGAUGAUGGAUGUGGCGAGUGGUCGGGCCGGACGGCAUGCGGCUCCGCCUUCGUUGCCUGGGCAGCGAGAGCUUCCGUGGCCAUCCGCUCUUGGUGCCUUGCACCUCGCGUCUGCAGCGUGCUUGCCAUACACCAUGUCGACGUUGACCUCCGGCUCGGAGCCCACCCCCGCGGGGACGACGCGCCACCGAAUGGGUUGCGCUGCCAUCCCGGGGUUCAGCUGCCAGACGGCCUGCACUGCAUUCGGCAAGGCAGGGGUACAACGCCUCCCACCACGAGCGUCGGGCAGAUCCAGUCGCAUUCACGCGGAAACAAUGGGUUCCUAGCGAUACGAGUCCGUCCGCGAUCGGGCGCACUCCUCCCGGGAGCGAUGGAGAGCCACACGGACCGCCAUCUCCUUCUCGGGACUGUAAGGGACAAGGUCCCAGUCGACCAUCCAGACAUCCCAGAGUUAGAUUCGCUGCAUGCCACGCUAGAAACGAAUGGAUUUCGACGAAGGAGAGCUUGGGGGAGAGGGGAGUGAAGUGGAGUAUGGCUAGGGUUUCUUCCAGACUGCGGAUAUGGUUGAAUAUAUGUGGGUCGGGUGGGCCAUUGUAGGCCGGAUCCAACGUGGCAGGCACGUCCUAGCACAUCCGGGCGUCCCUAUCUCCGCCCCACAUAUGAAUAUGGCGGCUGUCGGUCAGCUCGGACGUUUUGAUUGCGCUUUAAGGCGUCAGGUUGGGUAGCAAUUCUAUGCCCAAACAGUGACCGAGCAGGCCAUCUCAGCGUCUAAGAGCAUCUCCAGCCGCGCCCCCAACAGGCCCUCCCCAGGCAAUUUUUUAGCGCCGGCGGGCGAAAAUCGGUCCAGUCGCGCCCCAGGAGUCCGUUUUUCGCCGGGUUGGACCGAAAUAACAGCAGGCGCACCCGAGCCGAACCCGACGCGCUGGGGGCACCGGCACAAGCAAAAAGGGGCGUGGGGCCGCUCAGUCGGCGAUAGGAGGGCCUUUUCCCGCCGUUUCUUUCCGCUCCCCCCGACUUCCCUCUCAUUCUCUCCAUUCCUCCCGCCAAUCUCCUCCUCCUCCCCUCCCAGCCGGCCGCCAUGCGCCGAAGAAGUACGUGGUCCCCCCGCGCCGCGACGGGUGCGACCGCCGCCGUCGCCCAGCCGAAGCAGAGGAAGCCGAGGGCACCGUCGUCCAAGCCCCCGGGCAUGUCCAACGCCGACUGGAGGGCGGAAGUUCAGCGUCGGGAGGCUGUCACCACCGACCGGUGGACCAGGGCCAACGCCAAGAAGGCGCAGGACAGCAUGGCGCGGCUCGCGGCUGCGACGGCGGCGGUGGAGCAGGCGGAGCGCUCGGCCGAACAAGCCGAGGCGGCCCGCGUGGGGAUGAUGAAUCCACCCGGCGGCCACACCCCAUACGCGCCCUGGAGCCAGCCAAGCGUCGGUUCUCCGACCGGCUUCUCGUCAUCGCCGCAACCCUGGGGUUGCACGCCGUCGCUGGGCUACGCCGACGGUGACGCGCACGGCGGGUUCAACCCCAACAUCACCUUCCCCCAUGGUCACCCGGCCCAGCGGACGCCCUCGCCCGCCUUCGCCGACGUGCAGUACCCUCCUACACCUACUCCCCGCCGGCCUACGCAUCCUCCCCGAUGCCCCCUCUCCGUCGUGGCGCGCUGCCCUUCUCCCAAGCCUCCACGUCGCAUCUCGGCGACCGAAGCCGACAUGGACGACAUCAUCACGGCCAGCUCGGCCGCCGCCGCCUCGUCCCCCGGGUUUACCCAGGACGACACAAUGGACCUCAACGGCGACAUGGACGGCGAGCUCGACUACGACGAGGAGGAGCCGGAGCCGGAGGAGGAGGAGGAGUCGGCGCCUGCCUCGGCAAGGAAACGAAAGAAGAAGAAGGGGGCGGCCAGGACCGGCAAGCCGCGCAUCAAGUGGGCGUCCAAGGAGGAUGAGUGCCUCGCCGAAGCGUGGAAAGUCGUCUGCCUCGCCCGAUCACCGGCACGAACCAGAGCAUCGACACGUAUUAUGACCGCAUCAAGACCGAGUUCGACGAGCGCAAGCUCGUUGACCCCUACUUCAAAGGCGUGUACAUGCGGCGCGGGGCGAAGGCAAUGGCGAACCAUUGGGGGCUCAUCCAAUCGGUGUGCAACAAAUGGCAUGGUAUCGUCGAGGAGAUCGCGGCUCGCCCGAAGAGGGACACCAGCAUCGAGGAUCAGGUAUGGCACGCCGGCCCCUCCCUUCUCUUUUCACCGGGUGCGCGCCACUCACUGAUUGUUCCUCGGCGCAGCUGGUGCGGAUGUUCGCCAUGUUUUGGCAGGACAGCAGCGACCAAGAUUUCAAGUACGUCCACGUCUUCAAGCGGAUCGAGAAGUGCGAGAAGUGGGUGGAUGUCCGGCGCACCCUCGCCAAGGCCAAGGAGACCUACAAGCUGGAUGCGCCGACGCCGGGCGCGGGCAACGGACGCCCCGAAGGCAACAAAGGGGCCAAAAAGGGGAAACACGCUGACUCGACAACCGCGCGAGUGCAGGAAUCCAUUGAGCAUUGCCUCGCCGACGCACAGGCCCGGGCCGCCCUGCGUGAAGAGAAGACCGAGGCGCGAUGGUCGGCGUUGAUGACGAACAACGCCGUCAAGCUCGACCUACUCUGGACCAACGUUGCCGCGAAGAAGAGGAACACCGACCUGGCUUUCUAGACAUCAGGGUAUCUUCAACGGCAACCCGCAAAAAUCAUUUCACAUCCGUCCGCGAACACGGAUGCGGGAGGACGCCAUCCAACGCUAGCCGGAUACGUUUUCACAAUAACUCAAACUAACCGGAUGAAAUUCGAUCAAACACGGCCAAACUUCAUAUAAAUGACGGAUUUCAUUACAUUUUACUAUAAAUUCGAUCAAACACGGCUCACGGGACUCGAGGCAUCGCCAUCUUUCAUGCCCUACUCUUCCUCGUUGAAGUGUGCGGCCUGUCCGUUGCCAGUGGACGAGAGGUCUAUAAUGGACGUGACAGGUGGGCGGGCCCUGCAGCGUGCGCGCGCCCAUCCACGCUUGGUGCCUUGCACAGUGCGCACCAUUUAAUUAGCCUAGGACAUCAUAUUCCUACGUUAUUUUAGCGGGACUCACUCUCUUUUUCUCACGCCAUCAUCCUCAUCCUCUGCUUAUUGAUUCCAAACUGACUUAUUGGGUUGGUCGAUGACAGGUAACUCCAAGACGUAUAUAAAUUGGUGUUUUUGGUUCUAAGCCGGCGAGAUAGUACUAUUUAGUGAUAAUAGAAAGAACCAACUUAUUGAGUUGGUGAUUUUUCAGGCCCGGCAGAGGCCCAACGAAGCAUGUGUUACGUAAUUGCAAUCGGCUUACUCACAUAGGUUACAAAGAAACACUCAUUUAUUUUUCCUUGCAGCCCAAUCAAGAGAAGAAAAAAAGAUGCAGAGUAGGCCCCUUUGGCCGACGUAGGGGACUGACUCCCUACGGCCCAAUCGAGGGGGGAAAAUGCGGAGCAGGCCCUUAACUGGACAGUUUGGAGGCCCAACCUACAAAUUUAUUUAUGCAUGGAUGGACAAAAAUUUUAGUACCACGUCAGAUAGGUAUAAAAGAAAAUAAUUCCAUAUGAUGAACGGACCAAAAAUUUAGAAAAACGCACCUACCUUUUAUUAUUACUAGCAAAAAGGCCCAUGCAUUGCAACGGGAGAAAAAAAAAACCUUCCAAAUCUCUAGCUGAGCCAGUUGGACAAAUUGUGUGUGACCGGUUGGCAGUUAUGAGAUCGAACCCUCCCAUCGGCAAUUUUAUUUUUUUGCCAGCUCUCCAAAGUUGGGCCACAGUGCGUCGCCAGAUGGGCUUCCUUCGUUGGGCCAAAACGGUGCAAUUAAUUGAAACGGGACCAAACGAAGCGAGACGAAACCUAGAUAUAGAUUAUUAUUAUUAUUAUUAUUAUUACUACUACUACUACUACUAUUAUUAUUAUUAUUAUUAUAUAGGGAAAAGCCCGUGAGUUGCAACGGGUAUAAAAUAAAUCUGAGUUUGUGUGGUAUUUGAGAGUUACAUGUCAUGGUAAAAUACUAAGUUUUUUCAAUCAAAUUGGUUGUAAAACCCAUAAGGAUCCACUUUAUGAAGAUCCCAUUGUGUUCUAAAAGCUCGUAAUCUUUUUCUCUGCUAAUAAAACCUACUCCUUCAACUCGCUCUAAAAAAAUUGGAUUAUGUGUAAUAAGUUGUUGAUUUUCAACAACCCUGUGUAAAAAAUAAAAAGUUGCACAGUAACUGUCAAAAAAAAGUUGCACAGUAUACACCACACCGUUUUUGUAGUCUUCGAGGGUUUAUGCAGUGCUAGUACUAGCAAAGCAGUUUCCUUCCAGAUGAAAGAAAAAAACUAAAAAUUAGAACCAAGGAUAUUCAAUAGUUUUAGACAGCAGAUUCUCAUAGAAAAAAUAUCAAAAACUGAAACAAACAACUAUUUGAAAUCAGCUUUGCUAGUGAAGCAAAAUCUAGAUCCGAGCCAUUUUCAAUGCAAUUGGCUGAAGCAUGUCUAGACAUACUUCAGUGGCAAUCGACGGGCUAUUCAAAGCCAGUUGAAACUGAAAACAAACAGGUUAGAGAAAGGAAUCAAACUCAAUGCAAAACUAGGAAAACAGGGAUGUCUUCAAAGGGGAAUUUGCUUAGCGGUUCAAAUGGCCCUGUGCACGCCCAAGCAAACUUUGAUCACCUAUCAGUCUCUGCAAGCAGCAGAUAUAUCUAAAGGCACCGGAAAAAAGAAGCAAGUGAAGGGUAAAAAAUAAAACAAAUGUAGUAAACAAAAUAGGUUUUAUGUUGGAUUCCUAAGAACAAACUGCUUAGCUAAGGGUUGCUUUGAUGUAUAGGAUUCUCAAAACACAGGAAUAGAAUAAACAAAUGAUUUACAAAGCUACAGGAAUAACAAUGUAUGGAACAUUCCUAAGGAUCUAAAUCCUCAGUCCUAGAAGAUUCCUUUGAAUCAAAGGAGCCCUAAAACUGCUGAAACUACAAAUUCAAAUUAAAUAGGUUUUAUGUAGGAUUGCUAAUCGUUCUAGCUAAAAACGAUGAACCUACAGAUUCAUUCUGCCCUCCAGAGCUGCCGUCUACAGAAAACCAAACUAGAAGUAAAAAAGCUGCACCCAGAAGAGACACGAUUCACAGAGAAGUAAACAGCAAGCAGAAAUGCAGAAACACACAGGCCGCAACAACAAUAUUCAUCAUUCAGGCGAGCCAGACCAUCGGGCACAACUUGGCAAUUCAGAGUACAUCACCUCAACAACUAGCUAAACCGGCAGCUAGACACAAGCUAGUUUCCAAAAGUC